RNAcentral lists this small nuclear RNA (191 nucleotides) under Gouania willdenowi (blunt-snouted clingfish). Its description in RNAcentral is "U2 spliceosomal RNA (ENSGWIG00000013314.1)". It matches the Rfam family "U2 spliceosomal RNA". Rfam says of the family: U2 is a small nuclear RNA (snRNA) component of the spliceosome (involved in pre-mRNA splicing). Complementary binding between U2 snRNA (in an area lying towards the 5' end but 3' to hairpin I) and the branchpoint sequence (BPS) of the intron results the bulging out of an unpaired adenosine, on the BPS, which initiates a nucleophilic attack at the intronic 5' splice site, thus starting the first of two transesterification reactions that mediate splicing. The record is from Rfam by way of RNAcentral. Lineage: Eukaryota; Metazoa; Chordata; Actinopteri; Blenniiformes; Gobiesocidae.
AUUGCUUCUUGGCCUUUUGGUUCAGAUCAAGUGUAGUAUCUGUUCUCAUCAGUUUAAUAUCUGAUACGUCCCCUAUCCGGUGACUACAUAUUAAAUAGAUUUUUGGAACUGGAAGAUGGAAUAGGGGCUUGCUCCGUCCACUCCACGCAUCAACCAGGUAUUGCAGUACCUUAAGGAACAGUGCACCCCUA